Mus caroli (Ryukyu mouse) is the source of this 257-nucleotide long non-coding RNA. RefSeq lists it as uncharacterized. NCBI's taxonomy places the organism in Eukaryota, Metazoa, Chordata, Mammalia, Rodentia, Muridae. The record is from RefSeq and is a predicted model, not a curated record.
GCAGAGGAUUCACCUAUCAGGACUUGUGCUAUCCAUCCAGACUUUCUGAGAGAGAAAUCUACAAGAGCCAGCCCUUAAAAGUGUGGCUUGGUUUCUCAAAGAAGGACCAAAGUUUUGUCAAGAACUCCCAGAUGAAGACCUUCCUAGACCUGUAAAGUGGGAUUACCCAGUUCUUGACUUCACAAGGAAGUUUCAACCAAUUCUGACCUAAUGCCCUACUCUACCGGAGAUCCACAACCUUUCUAAUCCCCACCCCG